AAAAAGCGGAGGAAAAGAAACCAACAGGGAUUGCCUUAGUAACGGCGAGUGAAGCGGCAAAAGCUCAAAUUUGAAAUCUAGUACCUUCGGUGCUCGAGUUGUAAUUUGAAGGUGUUUUUCUGGUGCUGGCCCUUGUCUAUGUUCCUUGGAACAGGACGUCAUAGAGGGUGAGAAUCCCGUCUGAUGGGGUGUCCAGUGCUUUGUAGAAGCUCACCGAAGAGUCGAGUUGUUUGGGAAUGCAGCUCUAAGUGGGUGGUAAAUUCCAUCUAAAGCUAAAUAUUGGCGAGAGACCGAUAGCGAACAAGUACAGUGAUGGAAAGAUGAAAAGAACUUUGAAAAGAGAGUGAAAAAGUACGUGAAAUUGUUGAAAGGGAAGGGUAUUAGAUCAGACUUGGUGUUUUGUGAUUAUCUUCCCUUCUUGGGUUGUGCACUCGCAUCUCACUGGGCCAACAUCGGUUCGGAUGGCAGGAUAAUAGCUUAGGAACGUGGCUCUUUUUUGAGUGUUAUAGCCUUUGUUGAUACUGCCUAUCUGGACCGAGGACUGCGGCUUUGCCUAGGAUGUGCGAAUACGGGAGUG
RNAcentral lists this ribosomal RNA (577 nucleotides) under Petasospora stauntonica. RNAcentral describes it as "eukaryotic LSU rRNA". It matches the Rfam family "Eukaryotic large subunit ribosomal RNA", at positions 45 to 623 of the family's 3401-position model. The record is from RNAcentral. Lineage: Eukaryota; Fungi; Ascomycota; Saccharomycetes; Phaffomycetales; Wickerhamomycetaceae.